UUAUUGGGUGUAAAGGGUGCGUAGACGGAAAUGCAAGUUAGUUGUGAAAUACCUCGGCUUAACUGAGGAACUGCAACUAAAACUAUAUUUCUUGAGUAUCGGAGGGGUUUGUGGAAUUCCUAGUGUAGCGGUGAAAUGCGUAGAUAUUGGGAAGAACACCGGUGGCGAAGGCGACAAACUGGACGAUAACUGACGUUGAGGCACGAAAGUGUGGGGAGCAAACAGGAUUAGAUACCCUGGUAGUCCACACCGUAAACGAUGGAUACUAGGUGUUGGCAAUGAAUAAUUGUCGGUGCCGGCGCUAACGCAAUAAGUAUCCCACCUGGGGAGUACGACCGCAAGGUUGAAACUCAAAGGAAUUGACGGGGGCCCGCACAAGCGGUGGAGCAUGUGGUUUAAUUCGAAGCAACGCGAAGAACCUUACCAGGUCUUGACAUCCCUCUGACCGCUCUAGAGAUAGAGCUUUCCUUCGGGACAGAGGUGACAGGUGGUGCAUGGUUGUCGUCAGCUCGUGUCGUGAG
RNAcentral lists this ribosomal RNA (521 nucleotides) under uncultured bacterium. Its description in RNAcentral is "bacterial SSU rRNA". It matches the Rfam family "Bacterial small subunit ribosomal RNA", at positions 551 to 1071 of the family's 1533-position model. The record is from RNAcentral.